RNAcentral lists this ribosomal RNA (253 nucleotides) under uncultured bacterium. RNAcentral's name for it is "partial 16S ribosomal RNA". It matches the Rfam family "Bacterial small subunit ribosomal RNA", at positions 524 to 776 of the family's 1533-position model. The record is from RNAcentral.
UACGUAGGGGGCAAGCGUUGUCCGGAAUUAUUGGGCGUAAAGAGCGUGUAGGCGGUCCGGUAAGUCAGCUGUGAAAGUCAAGGGCUCAACCCUUGAAUGCCGGUUGAUACUGUCGGGCUAGAGUCCGGAAGAGGCGAGUGGAAUUCCCGGUGUAGCGGUGAAAUACGCAGAUAUCGGGAGGAACACCAAUGGCGAAGGCAGCUCGCUGGGACGGUACUGACGCUGAGACGCGAAAGCGUGGGGAGCAAACAGG